RNAcentral lists this long non-coding RNA (6959 nucleotides) under Sorghum bicolor (sorghum). RNAcentral's name for it is "long non-coding RNA (SBIC_LNC005141)". The record is from RNAcentral. Lineage: Eukaryota; Viridiplantae; Streptophyta; Magnoliopsida; Poales; Poaceae.
AGACAUAGACAUACCCCUUUGAAGUAGAGAAACCAUAGUUAUCCUCUCUAUUCUGCUACCAUCGCCCAUAUACUAGAAUUGCUCUACUCUCUAUUCCCAUAUUAUCACUCACUGUUAUCUUACCUUUAAUAUUGUUCUUAUUCGAUUCUACCAUCUUUCCUAUUCACACCUAUUUACUUAUCUUGGUUAAGUUAGAGCGUAGAUCAGUUCUCCUGUUUCCCUGUGGAUACGAUAAAACCUUUAACCGGGUAAAAGCUUCAACGGUAUCCGUGCGCUUGCGGAUUAUCUGUGUGCGUAUAAAUACCAUAGUACACUCUAGUGCCAUGCUGGGGAUGACAACCUAGUAUUCAAGUGGUGUUAGCAAGUGUCAACAAGCAUUUUUGGCACCGUUGCCGGGGAAACGGUUGCUGAGUUGACUACGAACUAGUUUAAUCAUUUUAUAAAAAAAAUAAUAUAUAACAAAAAAAAUAUAUUUUCCUUUUAUCCUUUGCCUCAUCUCUGCUAUUCUUUCUUCUUAUCUAACCCUUGAUCUCUGGUCUAUUCAAACAUGUCUAUCUAUGAAUUUCAUAGACCUAUGGGCACACAUCUCGAACCACCAAAAUCUUCAAAGCCUAUCAUAGCAUCUAGUUUUGAGAUAGACCCCGAAUACAUAGAAUUUAUUCAAAAACAACCUUUCUCAGGAGAAGGUGAGGAAAACUCAUACACACACCUAAGAGAGUUUUAUCGAGUCUGUGACCUCCUUCGCAUAGAAGGCAUGUCCGAUGAGACCCUUAAAUGGAAGCUCUUUCCGUUCACUUUAACGGGAAAAGCUAGACUUUGGUAUAAACUCAAAGUAGGGAGUGUUCAUGGAGAUUGGAAGGAGUUAUAUAGUAGUUUUCUUUCUAAAUAUUUUCCAAUCUCCAAAGUGGUGGGAACUUUGGCGUGAGAUUCUUUCUUUUAGACAACUGGAAGAAGAAUCUCUUGGCAAAUCAUGGGACCGCUUUAUUAACCUUACUCUCAUUGGCCCAAAACUUUCUAUUCCAGAAGAAGUUCUUCUAAUUCACUUUUUUGAGGGCCUUAGUAGGAAAAAUAAGCAAACCCUUCAUGCGGCCUCUGGAGGAUCUUUCCACCACCUAUCCGCUAGUGAAGCUUGGAAUUUGAUUGAUUUAAUGAGCGGAAAGUCUCCUAGCUUUUAUAUCCCUGAGAAAGAGAAAGAACCAGUUCCUAGACAAGAAGAAGAAGUUUCGAGCCAGAUCACAACCACUUCAAUCCCAAACUUUAGCUAUCGAUCCUAAACCAUCAAUACCCCAAAAUUCUCCAAGGGAGGAAGGAAUUCCGACCUUAAAUCUUUUAGAUGCUGAUGGUUUAGACUUCUGGUUCUAUAAGAGACCUUCAAGCAGGGAUAAUUCAAAUCAUUGCAAUAAUGUUUCUCUUAGAGAAUGUCCUGGUUCCUAUCAUGAAGAAGUCGAGGAUGACAUAUCAAGUGAAGGAGAGCUAAGCCAUAUAGACAAUUCUAUCUACUCCCCUUCCAUGUUCACAAGUUCUAAAUCCAUCCUUGACCUUAGAGAUCCCUCUUAUCCCUCUUCUUUUCAGUCUCAUGAUGAUCCUAGCAAUUCACGAAGACGACCAAACCAUAGGAGUCAUGAAGACCAUAAGGAUGGCAUGUCAAGUAAUGCCAUAGAAGGAGAGCUAAGCCAUAUAGAAAAUUCUAACACCUCCCCUAUUUUGAUCACAAGUUCUAAAUGGCUAGAAUGUGUAAAAUGGAUGGAUAAGGAAGAAGCCUUAAUGGGUUCUGACUUUGGCUCAAUUUCAAAUGGUGAGUUCUUGACUCCCUUUGAAGAUGAGAUUCAUCCAACUACAGAAGAGGACAUAGGUGAGACCAAUCCAGGAGAAACUCCGAACAUUCAGAUUGGAGACGAAGAUAACAUUAAUGAGCAUGGAAUUUAUUUCAUAGCCACUUCGUUUACUCCAUGCUCAUAUGCAACAUCUUCCCAAUCUAUUGGUCUCUCCGACAUCACCACACUUGAGAUCUCCAACCCCCUCUUCAUUUCUAUUUAUAAAAACUUUAAAAGGGCGGUUGUCGAUGCAUAUGUCUAUAAUAAAUGCUGUAGAUCUCGUUGAGUUGAUCUAGAUAUAGGUUGGCGUCGGAGGGGAAACCACUUCGCCAACAUAAACUGAUGGCUUCCCAAGGACAAGCUUAGUGUCUUAAAAUAAGCAUUGAUCAGAUCGUAACAUGAGCUUUUAAUUAUUUGCAACAUUACCUUGUGUAUUGAGCAUAUAAGGAUAAUUGUAAAAAAAUAUAUUCCUUCGGGUAUUCUUGUCACAAACCUUUCUAGGAUUGGAGCAAGAAGAUCGGAUGAAUGACAAGCACAAGGUAUGUCCAACCAAUCAUCAUACAACACUGAAUUAAAUUCAUCCAAACUUGAAUUUUGCAAAAUUCAAGCUUGGGGGAGUACUUUACAUAAAAACAUCCUUUGCCAUGUUGCUAUGCUGGUUGUCCCUACCUUUGAGACAUGCUCAAUUUGUUAAAUACUAAUCACACUACUUCAUCUCCACUUGAGUAGAUCUCUAUAAAUGCUGUCAUGCUACCUUUGUCUAUUUACUAGCAAGUGUUGGUUUGGAAGUACUCGCCAUACUUCCAUUGGCAUUUAAAUUAAGCAUGGUGCUUAGGUUGAAUAGCCUUCCUUAAUCUGAUUAGACAUGGAGUCUAGUUUGGUUAUUGAACUAAAAAAACUGCUUGAGUAGAUAUUGGUAUAUUUUGUCGGACUAACCCCUGCAGAAAAACUUUCGAUAUCGAUUUGGGAAGUCCUGAGAUAAACUCACAUCAGAGACGAAGAAAGUGACACAUGAAGUUUAACAAUUAGCACAAGAAGGACAUAGCUCAUUCAUCAUAGAGAGAUGAUCCAUGGAGGGUGCCACAAACACGAUGCACAACCGCUAAGAAAGGAAAGCUUCCACAAGAUGAUACUGUACCAUCACUCUUCAAGCAAGGUAACAUCUUAAGGUACUUGACUAUCACUUUUAUAAGCUUCUCCUUGGUUCUGGCGUUCAUAUAAAUAAAAGAGACAAACGUGUAUGAUUUACAACUCUAGAUUAACCAACCCAACUGAUUCAACAUGUUUAGUCCUUUAAUCCUUGUUCUUAGUACUACCUCCAUGAUCCCACACUCGUAAUCAUAUGAGCUAAAAUGUUACACAUUCUAUCAUUGAGAGAUAUAAAGAAAAAGACAUAUACAUAAAUAGAUUAUCUUUCCAUAAGGUUGAGCGAUCUGAUCUGACAAAUGUUAUAAGUGCUACACUCAUGAACUUAUCAUCCAUCAACUUUGUCUUGCUCACUAUGCUUAAGGUUAGAGAAGAAAAAAUACACUUUUGGUUCUUUUGGUGUUUUCCACCAACAGGGCCCAUGCACUUGAUCUCUGCCUUGUCUCUAUGAGCAGGUACACUACAGCGCACUUCGAACUGCUGGGCAAACGAAGGACAUGGGUGACACCGUAUUAAAAGGUGCAGACGUCAAGGUCCGCACCUGAAUCAAAUGACGCACCUGAAGAAUGAACACGGUGAGAAGUCUUGUCAAGAAGACUUAAAACAUUGAACCCUCGCCGAAAGAUAAGAUUGGUAGUUAUCCAUAUUUAUCCUUUCUGUAUUCUCUUUUCCCUUUAAUUAUUUACUUGCCUUAAAUAGAUUAUUAGUUAAUCAUGCUAUCUUGAAAAGAAAAUAAAAAUGUUAAAAAAAAUACUAAGCCCCAUGUGAGUAUACGAGUGGCAUAAAACCCAUAAGUACCUUCACUGUGGUGGCAUAAAAAUAAAAUAAAUAUUUCUUUUUUACUUUAUAAAAUAAAAAUAUAAAAACAGGGAGUAAUAUUUAUUGAGGAAGCUCAACGUGAUGAAGGCUAGAUAUUUAUGCUAACAUUUAAUUAGUUCCACAAGCUUUGUUGUCUAUUUGAGCUCCACAGAAUUUAAGAAUCAAGAAGACUAGCAGAUGGAGGACAUUCUAAUCGCUGUCAGAAUGCUGCUGACUUUCAAAUACACCUCUGCCACCUGCUAGCUACAUCAAGAGAAAUUACGUCAAAAUUCAUUUUGGGGGAGAGCACCCCUAUUUAUCUCGCUAAGUAUUUCUACCUAUCUUUAUACUUAUAUUAUAUUAGAAUAUUAAAAUACAUAAACUAUGAAAAACCAAAUAAAGAUUUUAUGCUUAUAUAUAUAUAUAUCUUUUCUUAGUUUGCUAAAUAAAUAAAUAAAUAAAUAAAUAAAUAAAGUUUGCUAUGAAUCUUAAUAAUAAAACUCUAGCAUGGAUAUGAUGAAUAGUUGCUCUGCCUAAUUUGCAAAUUUGAAGUUCUCUCUCAAGUUUAGACAUAACUGUUAUAAUUUAAAGCUUGCUCUAGAUCUAAACUUGUGGGAUGAAAACUUGAUCUGAAAUCUAAGUUGUUAACGGAUAAGAUAUGGGAAGGUUGAGCUGUUGUUUAUCUGUUCCUAGAGAUGCUAGAAUUCUGGAGAAUUUUAUCUUUGAAAAUCUUUAAAAUGUUGCAUGAUGAGUUCCUGUAUGAUGAAAGUUUAAAUUCCUACCACAGCCAUAUAUACAUGCUUGCUAGACUUUGAGCCACACAUUUAUUAUUUACUGCUUAUGAGCAUUGAGUGUGGUCAAGCUGUGUAGACCCUUAGGUGCUUGUCAUGUGGUUAAAUCAAGAUUCACUUGCACGUUCACUCAUAUAUGCUACUUCUACUCUGGAAGUACCAUCCACAUAUAUCCAUCCAUUUCCAUCUCCAGAAUCACCAAAAAAUAUUCUACUCCUAAUUCGGGAGAGAAUAGCCAAAAACAUCUGUGUUUUUCCCUUGUGAAAUAAAUGCUCAAGUUAUCUUGCUACUACCACUUGCUAUAUUAUCUCAAGAGAUGAGUGCUCUGAAAAAAAAAGAAAAAAAAGAAAAGAAAAAAAUCAUAAUAAUAAAUAAACGAGGAAAUAAAAAGGGGCAAGUGCCCGAAACCUCGGAAGAAAAGAAAAAGAGUGAGACGAGAGGUAAAAAUGGACAAGUGUCCGACAGUAGAAUUAGGGGUACAGGAUACCCAUCUGAGAGAAAAGAAAAAGAAAAGCAUCUCAUUCUCCUCAUAAAGUUUCAAAAAAGCAAGGAAGGUAUGUAUCCCCUCAAAAGAGCAAAAGUAGAAUUAGACUUUCACCAUUGUUAUCACCAUCAUCACCAUACACUAUUCAUUCGCCACACAUGCACAUCUUGAUUUGGCUUAUUGAUUUGUUUCUUUGGAUCCAUGGUUUGACUAUACAAUAAAUGUCUUGUAAGUAUGUAUACUUUAUCUCCCACCUAUGAGCUCCAGAUAUUAAAACCUUAUUAGAGUAGGGUGAGAGAGAAGGCAAUGUCACUAUGCCUUAUACCACAAAUACCACAUAUUUUGAGAGAAGGCAUAUACCAUCACUGCCUUGGUAAGGAUCCAGAAAUACCACAAAAGAGAGAUAUGAGAGAGUCAUACAAAGGAAUCUCUAAGUUUUAUUUGAAAAUCUGAAAAAAACUCCAGAGCUAUAGCUGAUCAAGAAUAAGAGACAUGGCACUUGACGGGACUGUUCUAUCUUUUAACUACUCAAGACAGAAGUGACGGUUACAAGUCCCAUGGUGAAAGGUAAAGUAAGUAAGUUUUAGUUCUUGACAGUUUACUCUAACUCAGAGAUGAGAACUUAUUUAAAAAGCAUGUGUACCGUCAAAUUUUUAAGAUAUUGCAACAACUUCUGAUCCAUUGCUGAGUCUAUCCUUGCUCAGGGACGAGCAAGAGGUAAGCUUGGGGGAGUUUGUUGACGGUCCUUAAGUAUCAAAUUUAACUAUCAAAUAAACAAAGAAAAGGAUCCAAAUGAAAUCAACAUCAAGACUUAGGGUUUUAUCUGACAGAAUUCCACGAGUUUUGGUGUUUGUCUAUUUCUGCAGGGGGUUAUCAGGAAAUAUGGAAGAAAGGCCCACAUGUCGGGAAUACGUAAAGAUAUUAACGUGCUGCGCAAUUAUCUUACAUCUAGAAGACUCCAGAAGCCACGAGACUGAAGCGGAGGCGAAACGGGGCCAGAGACAGGGCGCCCGCCCUGUCCUACUGGGCGCCCGCCCACCUCCUGUGGCCAAUCACGCUCAAUCUCGCGGAUUAUGCUCCACCGACCUAAAGGAUCAAGAAUAACCAUUCAAUCAAUGUCGGUUUGAUCCGACGGCCCAGGUUCACUUGAGGGGACUAUAUAACCAGACCCCCUGGCCCCUGGAGGAGGCAACCCCUUGAUGAUUAUUCAUUAUUCAUAGACAGAGCAAAAGCUAGGGUUUAGAGAUGAGAGCUCUCCUCUCUUCUCUAAACUAGAGUAGAUCUAGAUAGUAGCAAGAUGGAGAGCGAAUGAGGAUUAGAGGAGAGGCCGGCCUGUCGGUUCUUCCUCCGGUUGUACUUCGCCAUGAUCAAGCUCUAAUCAAGCUUGCUCAUGGGAUGACUCUGGUAAUCUACUUCUAAUUCAUUAUGCAAUUACUAAUCAUGUAUGUUCUGGUUCACAACUCUUUUAAGUACUUCUAAUCUAUAGGACCCUAUAGGUUAGAGUUGUAGUAUAGGUGUAAGCGUGGUGCUUAGACCUAGAUUACUUGUGGAUAUCCCCUGACUAGCUGGAUCGUGUGGUAGGCCGCAUAGGUGACUGUUACGUUGGUCCCCUGUAGUCCACCUCUCGUUAGCAGGACGGGUAGGGUUUAUCGGCCUAUAGAUAAGCAUCCUUUGUGGUGUACUUUUAUCACGUGGUUCGUCCCAGACAUAGACAUACCCCUUUGAAGUAGAGAAACCAUAGUUAUCCUCUCUAUUCUGCUACCAUCGCCCAUAUACUAGAAUUGCUCUACUCUCUAUUCCCAUAUUAUCACUCACUGUUAUCUUACCUUUAAUAUUGUUCUUAUUCGAUUCUACUAUCUUUCCUAUUCACACCUAUUUACUUAUCUUGGUUAAGUUAGAGCGUAGAUCAGUUCUCCCGUUUCCCUG